CAUUAGUGAAUCGUUAAAGAUGCUUCUUUUUGCUCAUAUUUGGAGUUUGGACGGUUGAAAAGGUUGGAAACGAGCUUUACACAUGAAAAGACUUCCCCAGUAGUCUCCGUCUUUACCUUUGACAACAAAAAUAAAACUUUCGGUAGACUUAAUAAGACGUUUACCUAAAAGAGGUUAGUUUUUCAUUUGACCGAACUUUUGACUUUUCAAAAUAGACUUCAACGGAACUCUACAGAAUGUAGACUGCCACCGAAGUCUAUAAAAGGUCAGUUUUGCAUUUGACCAAAACUUUGACUUCGUGGAAUAGGUUAGUUUUGUGUUUGACCAAAAAGUUUAAAAAGCAAUCAAAAAUUUAUUAAAUUGUAGACUUCAUAUGCAGUCUUCUUAUCUUAAAAAAAAAAUGUAGACUGCGUAUAAAGUCUACUUUUUUAUUUUGGUCAAAUACAAAACCAACCCGUCGGAUUUGAGAGUAGACUU
This is a long non-coding RNA of Brassica rapa (field mustard), 477 nucleotides long. RefSeq lists it as uncharacterized. The record is from RefSeq and is a predicted model, not a curated record. NCBI's taxonomy places the organism in Eukaryota, Viridiplantae, Streptophyta, Magnoliopsida, Brassicales, Brassicaceae.